Molecule: ribosomal RNA, 200 nt
Filed under: uncultured bacterium
Lineage: Bacteria
Description: partial 16S ribosomal RNA
Rfam family: Bacterial small subunit ribosomal RNA
Source: RNAcentral
AGAGUUUGAUCAUGGCUCAGGAUAAACGCUGGCGGCGUGCCUAACACAUGCAAGUCGAACGCCCCUUAGCAAUAAGGGAGUGGCGGACGGGUGAGGAACACGUGGGUAUCUGCCUUGAGGUGAGGAAUACCAGCGAGAAAUCGCUGACAAUACCGCAUACGUUUCGCGAGAAACAAAGUCGCAAGACGCCUUGGGAUGAG